This is a long non-coding RNA of Lepisosteus oculatus (spotted gar), 484 nucleotides long. RefSeq lists it as uncharacterized. Lineage: Eukaryota; Metazoa; Chordata; Actinopteri; Semionotiformes; Lepisosteidae. The record is from RefSeq and is a predicted model, not a curated record.
UGAGGUUCAGGGACUGGUAUGCUGCUGUCCAUCAGUGAAUAUGAUGCUGAGAUGAUAGAGGCUUCCAGGAAAUUGGAAACGAUGGGUGCAGUGAGUCCCAGGAAGAUGAGGCUGGAGAGAGCCCCAGUCCAUCCCGGAGCACACAUCCAUGUGUGGCAGGAGGUGUUUUUAAGACAUGAAUGGCCCAUGGGAAUGGUUUACACACAACAAAAGUGGAGCACCUAAAGAAACACAAAACGAGAAACGGCAAAUAAAUGUUGCAAUAGUCUAAGAUGUUUCAUUUUAAUUUUAUUACAUAUGUCCAUUAAAACUAGCAUUGCACUAACCACGACACCUGGAGAACCAUCAUCAUAUAGUGGGGACAUUGAGUAAUGGACCUAGUUCAAUGGUGUAAUUUCACCCAGGAUUUAAGAUAAGACCACUUUAUUGGCCAUAUCCAAUUUCUUGCAUUGGGAAUUCGUCUUUUCGCUUACCCCAGCUUGCU